CAGCCGCCGCGGUAACACGAAGGGUGCAAGCGUUAAUCGGAAUUACUGGGCGUAAAGCGUGCGUAGGCGGUGAGUUAAGUCUGCUGUGAAAUCCCCGGGCUCAACCUGGGAAUGGCAGUGGAUACUGGCUCGCUAGAGUGUGUCAGAGGAUGGUGGAAUUCCCGGUGUAGCGGUGAAAUGCGUAGAGAUCGGGAGGAACAUCAGUGGCGAAGGCGGCCAUCUGGGACAACACUGACGCUGAGGCACGAAAGCGUGGGGAGCAAACAGGAUUAGAUACCCGCGUAGUCCCUGUCUCUUAUAC
This 301-nucleotide ribosomal RNA is filed under the name uncultured bacterium. Its description in RNAcentral is "partial 16S ribosomal RNA". It matches the Rfam family "Bacterial small subunit ribosomal RNA", at positions 509 to 807 of the family's 1533-position model. The record is from RNAcentral.